AUUGAACGCUGGCGGCAUGCCUUACACAUGCAAGUCGAACGGCAUCGCGGGAAAGCUUGCUUUCCUGGCGGCGAGUGGCGAACGGGUGAGUAACACAUCGGAACGUACCGGCUAGUGGGGGAUAACCCGUCGAAAGACGGGCUAAUACCGCAUACGCUCUUCGGAGGAAAGCAGGGGACCUUUGGGCCUUGCGCUAGCCGAGCGGCCGAUGUCCGAUUAGCUAGUUGGUGGGGUAAAGGCCUUCCAAGGCGACGAUCGGUAGCGGGUCUGAGAGGACGAUCCGCCACACUGGGACUGAGACACGGCCCAGACUCCUACGGGAGGCAGCAGUGGGGAAUCUUGGACAAUGGGGGCAACCCUGAUCCAGCAAUGCCGCGUGGGUGAAGAAGGCCUUCGGGUUGUAAAGCCCUUUCGGCAGGGAAGAAAUCGGCGGGGCGAAUAACCCUGCUGGAUGACGGUACCUGCAGAAGAAGCACCGGCUAACUACGUG
This 490-nucleotide ribosomal RNA is filed under the name uncultured bacterium. RNAcentral describes it as "partial 16S ribosomal RNA". It matches the Rfam family "Bacterial small subunit ribosomal RNA", at positions 29 to 507 of the family's 1533-position model. The record is from RNAcentral.